Molecule: non-coding RNA, 135 nt
Organism: Triticum urartu
Lineage: Eukaryota; Viridiplantae; Streptophyta; Magnoliopsida; Poales; Poaceae
Source: Rfam
CAACUACUGCCUCCAUCCCAAAUUUGUUCACUUAGAUGUGUCUAGAUAUGGAUGUAUCUAGCACUAAAACGUGUCUCGAUACAUCUGUAUCUACACAAAUCUAAGACAACUAAUUUGGGACAGAGGAGGUAAUAG